AGUGAACGCUGGCGGUAGGCCUAACACAUGCAAGUCGAACGGCAGCACAGUAAGAGCUUGCUCUUACGGGUGGCGAGUGGCGGACGGGUGAAGAAUACAUCGGAAUCUACUUUUUCGUGGGGGAUAACGUAGGGAAACUUACGCUAAUACCGCAUACGACCUACGGGUGAAAGCAGGGGAUCUUCGGACCUUGCGCGAUUGAAUGAGCCGAUGUCGGAUUAGCUAGUUGGCGGGGUAAAGGCCCACCAAGGCGACGAUCCGUAGCUGGUCUGAGAGGAUGAUCAGCCACACUGGAACUGAGACACGGUCCAGACUCCUACGGGAGGCAGCAGUGGGGAAUAUUGGACAAUGGGCGCAAGCCUGAUCCAGCCAUACCGCGUGGGUGAAGAAGGCCUUCGGGUUGUAAAGCCCUUUUGUUGGGAAUGAAAAGCAGCAGGUUAAUACCCCGCUGUUCUGACGGUACCCAAAGAAUAAGCACCGGCUAACUUCGUG
This 492-nucleotide ribosomal RNA is filed under the name uncultured bacterium. RNAcentral's name for it is "partial 16S ribosomal RNA". It matches the Rfam family "Bacterial small subunit ribosomal RNA", at positions 29 to 507 of the family's 1533-position model. The record is from RNAcentral.